This 482-nucleotide ribosomal RNA is filed under the name uncultured bacterium. Its description in RNAcentral is "bacterial SSU rRNA". It matches the Rfam family "Bacterial small subunit ribosomal RNA", at positions 24 to 507 of the family's 1533-position model. The record is from RNAcentral.
UCAGAUUGAACGCUGGCGGAAUGCUUACACAUGCAAGUCGAACGGUAGAGGGGGCAACCCUUGAGAGUGGCGAACGGGUGAGUAAUAUAUCGGGACGUGCCCAGUCGUGGGGGAUAACGUAGCGAAAGCUACGCUAAUACCGCAUACGAUCUACGGAUGAAAGCGGGGGAUCGCAAGACCUCGCGCGAUUGGAGCGGCCGAUAUCAGAUUAGGUAGUUGGUGAGGUAAAGGCUCACCAAGCCGACGAUCUGUAGCUGGUCUGAGAGGACGACCAGCCACACUGGGACUGAGACACGGCCCAGACUCCUACGGGAGGCAGCAGUGGGGAAUUUUGGACAAUGGGCGCAAGCCUGAUCCAGCAAUGCCGCGUGCAGGAUGAAGGCCUUCGGGUUGUAAACUGCUUUUGUACGGAACGAAACGGUGAGCUCUAAUACAGUUUGCUAAUGACGGUACCGUAAGAAUAAGCACCGGCUAACUACGUG